AAUGGAGAGGGGGAAAACAGAGGCUGUAUGCUAUUCUGUUCAUCGCGAAUAGUUCCUGUGCUGUGUGAGAGACAUCUUCAUUCGAGAGAGGAGACGGUUGUCUCUGCAAUUCCCUAGUUCUUCGCUAUGCUUUGAAACGGUGGACUGUCGACUGUCACUUCGUCGCAGGCUCUUAUAAAAUGGGCAAAGCUGGGGAAUCACGCGUCUUCCUGCCGCUUUGAAGACCUCCUCCACUGACAAGCAACUCCACCCAUCUUCACUUAUGGUUUUGGACAAAGCAACUUUUUACUAUUAUGUCACUUGAAGUGUCUUCCAUGGUCUCCCACAAUCUAGCCAUCUCAGUCUCUUCAUCCUCCUCCACUUUCUUAGCUCCCUUAAAUUUCAACUCAAGGCACCCUUUACUAAGGAGUUGGUGUUUAGAGCAUGCAUGAUACCAUUACUUCUCUGUGGAGGACUCAAAAUAUACAAUGUUAUACUUCUUUGCCCUUUAUUCUUCAGCUUGGAGAGCAGAUUGCUAGAAGAAGGGUUGCACCCUUACAGAAGUACCUUGACAUAAAAGUGAUAAGUUUGGGAAUUGGCAUAAUGUUUUAAACGCAUUAAAGCAUAAGGUUCCAUAUGAAGAUGAGAGAAAAAAUAAGUUCAAAUCAAGAAACUUUUGCAAAUUCAACUUAUGCAUACCAUAACUCAAGUCUGCUAUAAGGAAAUGCUGAUCAAGAGAUUUCCCUGAAAGAUUGAAUGAAAUUAUGAUUGUAUUUUAAAAUGUAGUUAUUUGUUUUUUUUGUAUAGGAUAAGAUGUAAUUUAAUAUGGGCAUAAUGUUGUUCUUAAGCCCCCAUGGUAUAUCUUUUGAUAUGGGGUGCCCUAUAGUCUUUAUUUAUCAUUUUGAUCGUACUUAACAAAAAGAUAAACC
Molecule: long non-coding RNA, 908 nt
Organism: Prosopis cineraria
Lineage: Eukaryota; Viridiplantae; Streptophyta; Magnoliopsida; Fabales; Fabaceae
Exons: 6
Source: RefSeq, a predicted model, not a curated record